UGCAAGUCGAGGGGCAGCAGGGAGUAGCAAUAUUCGCUGGCGACCGGCGCACGGGUGCGUAACACGUAUACAAUCUGCCUUUAACAGGGGGAUAGCCCGGAGAAAUCCGGAUUAAUACCCCAUAACACAAGAAGUAGCAUUACUUUUUGUUAAAAGCUCCGGCGGUUAGAGAUGAGUAUGCGUCUGAUUAGCUAGUUGGUGAGGUAACGGCUCACCAAGGCGACGAUCAGUAGGGGAUCUGAGAGGACUACCCCCCACACGGAUACUGAGACACGGAUCCGACUCCUACGGGAGGCAGCAGUAAGGAAUAUUGGACAAUGCCCGCAAGGGUGAUCCAGCCAUGCCGCGUGCAGGAAGACGGCCCUAUGGGUUGUAAACUGCUUUUAUACCGGAGAAAACCUCUUCUCGUGAGAAGAGCUGAUAGUAUGGUAAGAAUAAGCAUCGGCUAACUUCGUGCCAGCAGCCGCGGUAAGACGAAGGAUGCAAGCGUUAUCCGGAUUCAUUGGGUUUAAAGGGAGCGUAGGUGGUCUUAUAAGUCAGUGGUGAAAUCUCUGGGCUUAACCCAGAAAUUGCCAUUGAUACUGUAGGACUUGAGUAUAGUUGCCGUUGGCGGAAUAUGACAUGUAGUGGUGAAAUACAUAGAGAUGUCAUAGAACACCGAUUGCGAAGGCAGCUAUCGAAACUAUAACUGACACUGAGGCUCGAAAGUGUGGGGAUCAAACAGGAUUAGAUACCCUGGUAGUCCACACUGUAAACGAUGAUUACUCGCUGCUAGAGGGUAACUUUUAGUGGCUUAGCGAAAGCGAUAAGUAAUCCACCUGGGGAGUACGCCGGCUACGGUGAAACUCAAAGGAAUUGACGGGGGCCCGCACAAGCGGAGGAGCAUGUGGUUUAAUUCGAUGAUACGCGAG
Molecule: ribosomal RNA, 911 nt
Filed under: uncultured bacterium
Lineage: Bacteria
Description: bacterial SSU rRNA
Rfam family: Bacterial small subunit ribosomal RNA
Source: RNAcentral